GGGGAAGUGGCUCAGUGGUAGAGUGCUUGCCUUGCAUGCAUGAGGCCCUGGGUUCGAUUCUGAUUCCUCA
This 70-nucleotide transfer RNA is filed under the name Dipodomys ordii (Ord's kangaroo rat). It matches the Rfam family "tRNA". From Rfam's summary of the family: Transfer RNA (tRNA) molecules are approximately 80 nucleotides in length. Their secondary structure includes four short double-helical elements and three loops (D, anti-codon, and T loops). The record is from Rfam by way of RNAcentral. Lineage: Eukaryota; Metazoa; Chordata; Mammalia; Rodentia; Heteromyidae.